GUGCUUGCUUCUGCAGCACAUACACUAAGGUUUGAAUGAUACAGAGAAGAUGAGCAUGGCCCCUGCACAAGGAUGACAUGCAAAUCUGUGACGCAUUCCAUAUUUUU
Small nuclear RNA from Microtus ochrogaster (prairie vole), 107 nucleotides. The record is from Ensembl. Lineage: Eukaryota; Metazoa; Chordata; Mammalia; Rodentia; Cricetidae.